RNAcentral lists this ribosomal RNA (488 nucleotides) under uncultured bacterium. RNAcentral's name for it is "partial 16S ribosomal RNA". It matches the Rfam family "Bacterial small subunit ribosomal RNA", at positions 28 to 507 of the family's 1533-position model. The record is from RNAcentral.
GAUGAACGCUGGCGGCGUGCUUAAUACAUGCAAGUCGAACGGACAGACCCUGCGCUUGUGCGGUGCUCGAUUGGCGCGCGGGGGAGUAAAACAUGUGUAACCUGCACUUAUAUGUGGGGUAACUUCUCGGAAAUCGGGCGAAAAUCCGGUAUAAGCUCCUGCUGCACGGGGUGCAAUGGAAAGAUUCGGUGGUUGGGGAUGGAAUCGCGGCUUCUUAGCUUGAUGGUCAGGUAGCGGCGUACCAAGGCUACGACGGGGAGCCGACCUAGCAGGGCGAUCGGCCACACGGGAACUGAGACACGGGCCAGACGCCUACGGGAGGCAGCAGUAGGGAAUCUUCCGCAAUGGGCGAAAGCCUGACGGAGCAACGCCGCGUGAGUGAAGAAGGUCUUCGGAUCGUAAAACUCUGUUAUUAGGGAAGAACAAAUGUGUAAGUAACUAUGCACGUCUUGACGGUACCUAAUCAGAAAGCCACGGCUAACUACGUG